GUCCGUUCACACAGACCGGCUCGGAGAGCAUCGGCCUGCUUUUUUCUUUUCACACAGACCGGGUCGUAUACGCUUGGAAUUGGCCGGAGCGGAGCCGCCAACUAUUUCACAUCGACCGGCUGGAAGAGAUCUGAAAGCGGGUGCGGUUGGAUCCGAGCCGAUCGGCUGCGCGAGCGAGAAAGAGCACGCAAGCGGAGCCGGUCGGCUCCUUUUAUU
Papilio machaon (common yellow swallowtail) is the source of this 216-nucleotide long non-coding RNA. RefSeq lists it as uncharacterized. The record is from RefSeq and is a predicted model, not a curated record. Lineage: Eukaryota; Metazoa; Arthropoda; Insecta; Lepidoptera; Papilionidae. The transcript has 3 exons.